GAGUUUGAUCCUGGCUCAGGACGAACGCUGGCGGCGUGCUUAACACAUGCAAGUCGAACGAGGAUGAUGACUUCGGUUGUCAUUCGAGUGGCGGACGGGUGAGUAACGCGUGAGCAAUCUGUCCCACAGAGGGGGAUAACAACUGGAAACAGUUGCUAAUACCGCAUAAGACCACACUGUCGCAUGGCAGAGAGGUCAAAGGAGCAAUCCGCUGUGGGGUGAGCUCGCGUCCGAUUAGUUCGUUGGUGAGGUAACGGCCCACCAAGACAGCGAUCGGUAGCCGACCUGAGAGGGUGAUCGGCCACAUUGGGACUGAGACACGGCCCAGACUCCUACGGGAGGCAGCAGUGGGGAAUAUUGGGCAAUGGGCGAAAGCCUGACCCAGCAACGCCGCGUGAGGGAAGAAGGUUUUCGGAUUGUAAACCUCUGUCCUAAGGGACGAAGGAAGUGACGGUACCUUAGGAGGAAGCCCCGGCUAACUACGUGCCAGCAGCCGCGGUAAUUC
RNAcentral lists this ribosomal RNA (505 nucleotides) under uncultured bacterium. RNAcentral's name for it is "bacterial SSU rRNA". It matches the Rfam family "Bacterial small subunit ribosomal RNA", at positions 9 to 526 of the family's 1533-position model. The record is from RNAcentral.